Molecule: ribosomal RNA, 490 nt
Filed under: uncultured bacterium
Lineage: Bacteria
Description: partial 16S ribosomal RNA
Rfam family: Bacterial small subunit ribosomal RNA
Source: RNAcentral
AUUGAACGCUGGCGGCAGGCCUAACACAUGCAAGUCGAACGGUAACAGGAAACAGCUUGCUGUUUCGCUGACGAGUGGCGGACGGGUGAGUAAUGUCUGGGAAACUGCCUGAUGGAGGGGGAUAACUACUGGAAACGGUAGCUAAUACCGCAUAACGUCGCAAGACCAAAGAGGGGGACCUUCGGGCCUCUUGCCAUCGGAUGUGCCCAGAUGGGAUUAGCUAGUAGGUGGGGUAACGGCUCACCUAGGCGACGAUCCCUAGCUGGUCUGAGAGGAUGACCAGCCACACUGGAACUGAGACACGGUCCAGACUCCUACGGGAGGCAGCAGUGGGGAAUAUUGCACAAUGGGCGCAAGCCUGAUGCAGCCAUGCCGCGUGUAUGAAGAAGGCCUUCGGGUUGUAAAGUACUUUCCGCGGGGAUGAAGGGAGUAAAGUUAAUACCUUUGCUCAUUGACGUUACCCGCAGAAGAAGCACCGGCUAACUCCGUG